Myotis davidii is the source of this 336-nucleotide long non-coding RNA. RefSeq lists it as uncharacterized. The record is from RefSeq and is a predicted model, not a curated record. The transcript is spliced from 3 exons. Lineage: Eukaryota; Metazoa; Chordata; Mammalia; Chiroptera; Vespertilionidae.
ACGUGUUUGUCUACGGCUGCAGCAUCAAGGAGACCCUGUGGCAGGCGGAGUCCGCCGUGGGUGCCCCUGCUGUCUCCGAAGAUGUCAGCUACAGGACUCUUCCCAGAAUCCUGGACCAGCUCGCCCCCGCCUUCACCAUGAGCAGCUGCAGUUUCCUGGUGGAGAAAUCUCGCGCCUCCACCGCCCGGGUGGUUGUGUGGAGAGAGAUGGGGGUGACCAGGAGCUACACCAUGGAGAGUAGCUACUGCGGCUGCAACCAGGGCCCCUACCAGGGCCUGCAGUUUGGGACCCGGGAGCUGGAGGAGAUGGGAGCCAUGUUCUGCUUGGGCCUCCUCC